CUUCCAUCAGCCAAAAAUAAUUAUUUAAUGGCAAAAAGCCACCAAAAUUUCAUGAAAAAGUUGGCAACAGCAUAAAAGGUAUUUUAUUGUGAAAAAAAUACUGACACUAAGGGGAUUUUUUUUUGUGAUUUUUUUUUUUAAAAAAAAUCAGCCCAUUCCAUUAUCUAUGCUGUUAUCCUUUUCAAGAUAUCCAAAUUUUUUCAAUAAUUAUCACUUCAAAUUUGGUAAAAAAAAAAAAAAGUUGAAAAAGAAACCAUCACCCAAUUCAACACCAAACCCCACCCUCUUUAGGUGAUUAUCUAGGUUUUAGCAAGACUUCUCAAAACAAACUAAUCAUGCAUACAAGGGAGCAGAGGAAAUUUGAAAGAUAGGAAAUAGUUAAUUAACAAAAUCUUAAAAAUAUAAAUCACUAUAUUUGUCAACAUGGAAUGUUUUUUUUUUUUUUUUUUUGAUAAGUAAACAAGAUAUGUAUUAGAACAGGCUAAACGCCACAAAGCAUACAGGGAGUAUACAAGACGGCUAAAGCCUCAAAAAAGAAAAAGGACCAGAAAGAAACUACCUCCCCUUAAGUGGAAGCUAUCCACUCCAAAAAACCUAUGAGGGAAAAAGACUCCUCACCUAGAUACACUUUGGCCCAAUUCCACAAGUUACAGACAAAAGAAUACUUUAAUUUCUGAAUAUUCAACUCACCCCCCCUAAAAGCUAACCUAUUCCUCUCCCUCCAAACCGUCCAAAAAAUACAUAACGGAAUGGAUUUCCAAAUCCUUUUCCUUUUCUUCCCUACAAAUGAGCCCCUCCAGGAGAUUAAAGUCUCCUUUACAGUUUCUGGGAGGACCCACUUAACAUCUAUCAACCCAAAAAUAAUAUCCCAAAGGGCUCUAGUCACUAUACAGUGUAAAAGAAUAUGAUUUACAUUCUCUUCUUCACAACCACACAGAAAGCAGCAAUUCGGGAGAUGCACCCCUCUUAACUGGAGUCUAUCCAGAGUAAGCACCUUCCCCCACGUAGCCUCCCAAGCAAAAAAACAGACUUUAGUUGGCACCCUAUCCACCCAUAUUCUCCUUGCGGGAAAUACUAUGACAUUAGGCUUGUCCAACUGCCUGUAAGCUUCUUUGAUUUUGAAAAUACCAUUUCUUCCCUGCUUCCACACAACUGAAUCAUCCUCCAAGGAGGGCCUGUAGCCCCUCAAAGUAUGAAGCAGCUCUCCAACCAUAUCCAUCUCCCAAUCAUUGAAGUCCCUCACAAAAACAAGCUUCCAAUCCCCUUGGCCCGAAUCUUGAUCCCACAUCUCCUCAAUCGUAGCAUCCCUAUGCACGGCAAGGACAAAGAGUUGAUUGAAGCGUUGGGACAACGGAAUGUCAGUGCACCAUCUAUCUUUCCAAAAUUUGAUUUUGGAACCCUUCCCAACUAUAAAUGCCAAAUUUUCCCAGCACCAAUCAGAUUCCUUCAUGAUCUCCUUCUAGACCCCUACUCCAGCCGCCCCACGGACCUUCUUUGGCCUCCAGCCAUAAUCCUCUUGCCCAUAUUUUGUAGUGAUCACUUGGUUCCAGAAAUUAUUCUUUUCACAAGCAAACCUCCAAAUCCACUUUCCCAGCAAGGCUCUAUUCAGAGUGGCUAUUCUCCUUAAUCCUAGCCCUCCCUUGUGUUUCUCUGUACAGACCGCAUCCCAUUUAACUAGAUGAACUUUGCCCUCCAAGUUUCCUCCCCCCCAUAGGAAAUCUCUUUGGGUUUUUUCCACUCUUUUAGCAACAGACUUAGGCAUGCGGAAAAUAGACAGUUGGUAAAUUGGCAAGCUAGCCAAGGUGCUUUUUAUGAGAGUGAUUCUCCCCCCUUUGGAUAUGUACUGUCUUUUCCAAAGCGCAAGUCUCCUCCUGAUCCUCUCUUCCACCCCAUCCCACAUAGAAGUAGCCCUAUUGGGGACCCCUAAGGGGAGGCCCAAAUAAUGAGAGGGCAAAGACCCCACCCUGCCACCUAGCUCAGCUGCCAACUCAAGAAUAUCCUCCACGUCUCCAACUGGAAUGAUCUCACUUUUGGCUAGAUUAAUCCGAAGACCCGAAGCCGCUUCAAACCAAAAGAGAAUCCAGCUUAGGUGAGAAACUUGCUCUUUGCUCGCCUCACAAAACACAAUUGUGUCAUCGGCAAAAAAUAGGUGGGAAAUAUUCAAGGAUGUUCUACUGCCACCCCGUAUAUUGCACCCUGAAAUAUAACCCCCCUCCACCGCUCUCCUGAUAAGGACGUCCAGAACCUCCAUUCCCAUAACAAAGAGAUAAGGGGAAAGGGGGUCCCCUUGACGAAGCCCUCUAGUGCUAGGAAAGAACCCAGCUGGCACUCCAUUAACAAGAAUGGAGAAUUUAGCAGAGGAAACGCAACUCCACAUCCAUCCCAUCCACUUGGGCCCAAAGCCCAUUUUUUGGAGAACCUUCAUCAAGAAUUUCCAAUUGAUGCUAUCGUAAGCUUUUUCUAUAUCCAAUUUGCAGAUAAGACCCUUUUCUUUCCUCUUCUGCCACGAAUCUAUCACCUCAUUAGCAAUUAAAGACGCAUCCAGAAUUUGUCUUCCCUUUACAAAGGCAUUCUGAGCAAUAGACACCACCUUACCAAUCACUUUUUUGAGCCUAUUAGCUAAAACUUUAGCCAACAGUUUAUAGAGCCCCCCCACCAGGCUGAUAGGUCUAAAGUCUCCAAGAUUCUCCGCCCCACUUUUCUUAGGAAUCAACACCAAAAAGGUGUUGUUAAGGCUCUUAACAAAAGAACUAUGCUCAUGAAACUCUUUAAACAUCUCCAUGAUCUCCUCCUUGGCAAAGUCCCAUGCAUCUUGCCAAAAGGCAACAGUGAAGCCAUCCGGGCCAGGGGCUUUAUCCCCAUUCAUCUCCAUCAACGCCGAGUGAAUCUCAUUCUCUGCAAAUGGGGUUUCCAGACUCUCUGCAUCUUGCAGGCUGAUACAACCCACCGGAAUGCUACCAAUAUCCGCCUGCCAACCCAUGUCUUCAGUAAGCAACUGCUGAAACGAGUUCACAACACCUUCUCUCACCUCGUGCUCCUCUACUAGCCACUCCCCAUUAACCUUAAUUCUGUCCAUAGCGUUGUGUCUUCGAUGUGCACUAGCCAUUCUAUGGAAAAACCCCGUAUUUUUAUCCCCGUCCUUUAACCAAAGCUCCCUUGAGUGCUGUCUCCAAUGGGCUUCCUCCAACAGGACCCAUUUCUUAAAGGAAUCUUUAGCUUCCUUUUUUAGUUCAGCUUCCUCCAUAGACAAAACUCUCUCACUUUCCACCCGAUCCCAAAAAUCUACUUGAUGUAAAGCCAAAGCUUUAUUAGUUUCCAGCCUCCCAAAAACCUCUUUGUUCCACACUUUCAGCUUCUUUUUAAUUUCCUUCAUUUUGACGGCCAAUCUAUAACUAGCGCUGCCCCUGACUUCAAUUCCUUGCCACCAGGUUCUAACAAUGUCAUUAAAUCCCUCAACCUUAAGCCACAUAUUUUCGAAUCUAAACGGGGUUGGGCCUCUUCUUAUCCCACCCCCCUCUAACACGAUUGGAAAGUGAUCAGAAGUUGGCCGAGAUAACCUGCCCUGCGUGACGCCACUAAACUGAUCUAACCAGCUAGGAGAGACUAAAAAUCUAUCUAGUCUCGCCCACGCCUGAUUAUUCAGCCCCCCACUCCAUGUGAACUCUCCCCCCUGAAGGGGCAAGUCCACCAGCUCUAGAUCAUCCACAAACUCUGCAAAUCUCCGCAUGGCUGAGCUGGUUCUUCUUUGGCUGCUCCUUUCGUGUUGGAACAGAGUGAUGUUAAAAUCCCCACCGAGACACCAGGGAUCAUCCCAAAGGCCUCUUAUUGCCCCAAGUUCUUCCCACAUACCCUCCCUUUCCACUUUGGUGAAAGGGCCAUACACUCCCGUAAAAACCCAAGUAGCCCCAUUUUCUAUGGUCUUGAAUCUACAAGACAAGGAAAACUGACCCUCUUCCCAGUCCAGAAUCUCCAGGACCCGCUUAUCCCAGCAUAUCAAAAUGCCACCCGCAGCCCCUUCCGCAUUUAGGGCUCUCCAAUCUAAGAAUCUCCCCGAACCCAGACUUCUCACUAUACCCUCCGACAUCUCCUGAAUCUUAGUUUCCUGAAUGCACAUUAGGUCCACCCUCUGGUUCCUUAUAUAGUUAUUAAUGAUUUUCCUCUUAGAGCUAUCAUUAGCUCCCCUCACAUUCCAGGUAAUAAUCUUCAUCUUCAUCGGGCAACUAUCAACUAGUUCCCCUUGCCCUGUGAAGGAACUUUCUGCUUAGUCCCUCCCUCGUAAUUGACAGAGCAUUCCAACCUCUUCAGCUCCCUUUCAAACUUGGUCUUUUCCAAGAGUUCUUUACUGUGAAUCUUUUCCCGCCUCUUUCUGAUUUUAAUCAAAAAGCUCAAAAUCUCCUUUUCCAGUCCCUCUGUAGAGAAUCCCAAGAACUGGCUAAAUUUAGCUAGACUGCCUUCCUCCCAUAGAUCCUCUUUCUCAUUUUCAGUAUGUUGAGAACCAAAGCCACCAUUGUUCCCCUCCUUGCCCCUAGCCACGUCACUGUUCUUGUUGACCUCUCCCAAUUUCCAGGAUCCAUCUACAUUCUCAACGAUCCCCUCAUAUACUGUUAACCAAGUUGACAUAUCCCUCCUUAAUUCCUCCUCAAUACCCCCUGGGCGAUCGAAAGACUCCCCCUCCGGAGCCCAAUCAGAAUUAGAAAAUAGAAGAAGAGGUGUACACACAGCCCGUUUACCUUUAGGAUGGGAAAAUGAGGCAUACCUUUUAGCUUCCUCUUCCAGCACACGGUCAGUCAUUGAAAGACCAACAUCCCUUUGUUCCCUUCUAGACUCCUCUAGCACCAAACUCAUCAAAGGAUCCUCUGAAAAGGUUCCUUUUCUGGAACUAAAACAGCCCAGAAGACCAGCCUUCUCUAGUGGAGCAGUUGGGUCCUCCCUUUCCGGGCCUCCCACCUCAGUUAAUUGAUGGCAGGCCAUUUCAGCAGCCCAACUUGGGCCUGCCUCUGAAUCACCAGUCACCUUAGCCUUAUUUUUUAACUUACGGCCCAAUAGCCCAUCUAUUUUGUUCGGCCCACCAUCCUUCUCCAACCCAUAAAGGCCCAUAUUUGGGCCACAUGCGGCCGACCCAUCCAUUCUGCCAUCUGGGCAUACCCAGUCCCAGGACACCUUGCCAUGGGUCUGUAUCCCGGGUGCUGGACCCUGCCCAUUCUCCUACACAGCUCUCCCAUCAUCUGGCAACUGCAGGUCCUCGUUUCCCGCACCUACCAACUCCUUUCCCACGCGCUUCUCCGCGCGUGAAUGCGAGUCACCCCUAACCUCCUUCUUCCUUCUGUUUUCCAUCGCAGAGAAGAGCCGUCUCACCACCGGCCUGAUCUCCCACCAUAAAGCCACAGAAUAUGCCUCAUCCUCUACCUCCAUUUCUAGCAAACUCGGUCUGAAAUCACCUUUUGUUUUAACCAAAAUCCUAGCCCACUGGAUCUCCCUCAUCGACCUUGUGCGUUCAUCCAUGUCUAAGAAGCCCCCACAUUCCUCCCCUAUUUUCUUCAGAAUCCCCUGGCUCCAAAGCGAAAUUGGAAGGCCGAAGAUUUUAACCCAGGCUACCUGCUCCAUCUCCUCCUCAACCCGACAUCCCGUCUUUGGAUUCCAUCGGUCCAGCCGUAAAUGGGCUCCUCCCAUCAGUCUGCUCCCCGAAAAGACCACACGGUGUGCCUCACUAAUAUCUUCAAACUCCAACAAAGCCUUACCUCUUUCCAACUUGGCCAGCCCUAGCUUGCCUUUUAGGCCCCAGGAAUUCGCCCAGAGGUUACCCAACCUUUCCAAGUCGUCUUCCUCCUUUUCGUUGGAUUUCCAGCUCGCGACGAGGCAAUGCCCCAGCUUCUGUAAGUUACCAGCGAUCUCCUCCCUAGUGACCUUCAUAUUUAUUGCGUUUAAGCUAACCCGGUCUGUCCUCCUGACUGCUUCUGCGUAAGAUUUCGCCGGAGUAAUUUUUCCGACGGUCCUUACCUCCUGCAACUCUGUUCUUCUACCGGCCAACUCUUCCAUUUGACGUACCAUCUCUGCCAUAGCCGUCCAUCCUCUUUUGUCCCUCCUACCUCUCGGUAAGAAGAUGCAAAACCUUUUUCGUUCCAAAUCUUCAACCCCCAAUCUCAAGAAAGCACCCGCUCUGUUGAAUCCCCGAGCCAAGGUGUACAGCUUACCUCUUUCUUUCCACUCCUUCUCCCAUCGCCCCUCUUUUUCGUCCCGAAUACAGUGGAUUAAACCCUCCUUAAAGAGCCCUAAGCUGUCCAGCCCUAACCGAACCCAUGUCGAGACCCCUCGUUUCUUCUCCACUACGCGAACCUGGCACUUCCCUUUCCUAUCUUCCAGGGCAAGCUCGAAGGUCUUGGAUUCCACCGUAAAGCUUCGCUUUCGGCUCGCCUCGCCGAUCUCCUCGUCGUCGCCGUCACACGCGCUCUCACGCGCCCUCUCGCCCUCUCUCUCUCUUGCGCUCUCUCGCUCUCUCUCUCCCAUCUCAACAAGUGUCAACAUGGAAUGUUUUCCUUCCUACAAAAUAAUCAAAUCAGGAUUCUCCGACUUUCCAAACAAUGACAUUAAAUUUCCAUCUGAGUCCAGAUUACAAUUGUAAUUUCACUGAAAAGCAAGAUUAUUUAAUUCUGCUUCUUAAACCAGUAGUUCUAGUUUUCCCUUUCCUUCUCCCUAAUACAGUAAGAGAUACUGCAGUUCAGUUCAGACUGGUUCUCAACAAAUAAAAAAGAAAUGAGACAAACAGAACAUGAGAACUAAAGUUAUGCAAGAAAAAUUAACACCAAGACUUUAACUAAGAACCACUUGCUACACUUUCCGUCCUUAUUUAGACAAUUUUCUUUGUUGAGCUCCCUCCUCAAAUUUUCACUUAAACUAAAACCCAUCCUUGAGUAUCAACCUCUUCAUCCAGCAACUACUGGUGAUUUGUUCCUUAUCUUCACAAGUUUUUGCAAAAAUUAAUAAAAUAAAGACCCUUUUUUUAGGAGGUAAUACAGCCAUAUUAGAAUUAAAUUUUGCUAAUUUUUUUAAUAGAAAUUAUCACUUUUUGCUAUUUUCUGGACAAGUGAAAUCUCUUGGAUUUCCUUAGCUUUUCACAAAGGGAUAUCAAUAAAAAUUGGGUACAUGGCACAAUUUCACAACCUGGCAAUGUAUUGAGG
Molecule: long non-coding RNA, 7175 nt
Filed under: Vitis vinifera (wine grape)
Lineage: Eukaryota; Viridiplantae; Streptophyta; Magnoliopsida; Vitales; Vitaceae
Description: long non-coding RNA (VVIN_LNC005179)
Source: RNAcentral